Molecule: long non-coding RNA, 3593 nt
Organism: Mustela erminea (ermine)
Lineage: Eukaryota; Metazoa; Chordata; Mammalia; Carnivora; Mustelidae
Exons: 2
Source: RefSeq, a predicted model, not a curated record
GUGAAAGUCAUCAGAUGAAGCUAGCCUUCUCAGCUAGCCUUAGAUUUGUCUGCUAACAGUAAAAAUACUAUAAUAAAUCGGUAACAUAUGUUGCCAGGCAAGGAAAAGUGAUAUAAAUAAAGAGACCAGGAGACCCAAACCAAGUACAAUAUUGCAUUCUUACCCAAAUACUCUUCGUGAUUGCCUGCUUUGCGGCUUUGGGGUAAGUCCCAGUUUUCCACAACCUUAAGAAAAAAAAAAUGCAUAACAUAAAAGAUGCCAAAAAGACUUAUGGGUCCUGAUGUGCGGGUUUUGUGAAAUAUACAUGGGUUUGUUGUGGGGGAGGGAAUGGGAAGCAAUGUUGGUAAUGAAAUAAAGAGAAGGGGUUUGUUUCUGCAAGGAUCAGGAGUGUUUGAAAGUGUGCAUUGCAAACGAGGCUCCCUUCAGGAAAGCCACCUCUGGAAUGGAAAUGACAAAGCUUGGAACACACACAAUCAAUUAUUUUCACUAGCAUUUAAAAUAUAGAAAACAAAAUCUGCUUUGGGAAUUGACUGAAUAUUUUAUUUAGCUUUUUUAUUGAGACAUCCUUUGAAAAAUGGCAUAAUAUAAAUAGUUUUACAAAGCAACAAUAUAAUCAAUCUCUAAACUAGAAUAUAAAUCAAGGAUUUCAUUAACUGCUAGUAGCCAGUUUAAAUUGUAGUCUUGUCCAUAAUGUCUAUCUAUCUAUGUAUGUCCAAGUUAUAUUAAAAACCUUUAAAUGGCUUUGUAAUAUCAGCUACAUCUAGCUAUUAUAAUAAUUAAUGGUACUGUUUUAUAAAUCAAUACAUGUAUUCUUGAUAAAUUCAUAUCCAGUUAAUGGUGUAAUUUAAAUAAAAAAUUAAUGUAAUAAAGGACAUACAGAAACAGGCAGGAAAUCUUUAAAGGUUAAGAGACAAAUUUGUCUAAAUUCAUUUUUAAACUGUUUUGAAAAAGUUUAUACUUAAAAUCAGCUGCGAUUUACCUUGUUUCUGCAAAACCAAUCUUGCCAUCUCUAUUGGUAUCCAGGAAUGAACUGUAAGGCAUUUUCUUUUUUAACUGUCAAGUUUUAAUUACAUACUUACGAUACCAUGAGAUAUUUUACUAUCGUUACACUCUUUGACAAUUAUUGAAUAUUCUUUAGAAAAAUAGAACAAAACUAAAAAUCUCAAACAAGUAACUUAUUUUUAAUACAUGAAUGAAAUGUAAAUGCUUUAUGUAUAUAUUUUUAUAUCUAUAAAUGAACUGUUCUGAGCAUCUCCAAAGCCAUAUACAAAUUUUAUUUAAAGCGAAAAAGGACGAUUAGUUCAAUAAAUUUGCAUGCGCAAGAGCCCAGCAUUUUUACUGCUUUCACUGAAUGAACAUCCUAGGAAUUUGAGAAAGAAAAGAAAAAUGCAUUGAAGACUCUGAAAUGUAUUUUAACGCUGCACACGGGUGGAGAAACGCACUACAAAGAGAAGCGUGUAUCAUUGCUCUGAUUUAAAAAACACAUACCAAAGGCAUAAUACGGAGUAACAAGAUCUAGAAAAACAACUGGAUGUUGUAUGUUAUCAAACACGAUCUUAAAUCAUUCCAAAUAAAAUUUCGCUUGGUUUAGAGAGUAAGCAUUUUGCACAAAAUAUCUUUCAGAAUUAUGCAGACCAGUCUGCCCUGCCAUUCUCUGUGACAUGGUGCAGAAAUGUUACUUUAAUCCACUGAGCUUUUUCUGACAUUUUUCUUAACAUUGCUGAGCCUUAUUUAGAGCAGCAAAGGAGACGUGUGCAGUUUCCUUUGACACUGAUGGGUGUUUCAAAAUGUUACGAGAGAGAGAGAGAGAGAGAGAGAGAGAGAAGAGAGAAGAUUUGCUGCCAGUCACUUUAUCAAUACAGCUAGAGGAGCAAUUACUAUUUGUUAAAAGUUUACAUUUCAAAUGAAGCUAAAUUUUAAAGAAGACUCAUCCUUUUAAAAGCUUGCUGUUUGGAAACGGGGGAAGAGAAUGCACGUUACUGAUCACUUAUUAAAGUGCACUCAAGUACUGGAACCAUUUAAAAUGUAUUGUGUUUUUAUACGAAACCUACAGCAAAACCACUCCUAAGAGGCUUAAUUUAGGUUUUAUAGGAGGAACAUAAAAAAGACCAGGUUACAGCAACACGCUGAAAUAUGGGGUACAUUUUAAAUAUCUUCAUUUAAAAACGUAUGUUUAUUUUCCCUCCUGGGAUCACUAACGUGUGUCUUGACAGAGAAAGCAAGGACAUGCUACAUUCUUAAAAAUUAUCUGUUAAAGGGAUCACAUUCCAAGACAGGUUUGAGCAUUUUUAUUACUACCGAUAACCUCUUAAUUAUGUCACUGCCUUCCACUUGUUAAUCAGGGAUAUUCAACAUGGUUAACCAGUGAAUGGUUGCCUUUAGAUGACUACAUUAUUAUUAAGAAUUAAAAACUCAUUUUAUUCCCAUCAUCAUGUUAUUGCAUCUAUGAUUUUAGCACUGCUGAAAACUGACUUACCUGCUUUAAAUACAGAACACCUAAGAAAAAGGUCUAGAUGCCCCUAACAAUGUGGUUAAUUACUUCUUGGUACAGCUCAUGGGACGUUUAAGGGAGAGAUAAUUUUACUUUUGCUGUCUCACCCCACCCCCACCCCACUGGGUCCCCCACUCCCCCACCUCUCCCACAAUUCCUGUUUGAACCAAUUUUAGGUUUCUUCUGUAGCCACCAGCGUCUGAGAUACUCAGAGACUUUUUCAGAGAGCAAGGUGUAAGUGGAGUAAAUAAAAUUAUGUCUCACUGCUGCUUUAUCAACCCUCCUAGGUAGUUUUCCUGCCAGCCAACCUGUGCCGUUAAGACCCAGAAAAUUAUGCAAUAGUGACUUCUUUGAGGUCCUCUAAUCAGAUGAUGGCCAGUGUUAGGAGGGAAGGGCCCAAGGCGAUGUUGCUGGCACUUAAUGCUGGGCUUGGUCAUUACUUGUCUGGUAGAGAGACCAAUAAACAGAUGAUUACUAUACUAUAAGGAGCCAAUAUUUUACAUUUAUCCUAGUUAUUUCUUUGCUUUUCUUUUCCACGUCUUAUAACGGCAAGUAUUUGUCAAGAAGAUCUAUGAGGAAUAACCUCACAGGCCCCUUAAAAAUAAGAAUUUUCCUAGCGUGCAAUGAUGCCUUUUGUGGAAUGGUGAGAAUGAUUUUGGUUUUUAUAAGAGCAAAGGUUUGAUGACUUUAAAGUCGAUUUCUUUCAGAGUGGACCGUCCCAGACACGCCCCACCCCCAUCCCCUUCUCUGUCCACGACAGGUUCACAGGCUGCAACCAAAGGGUUUUAAAAUGCAAAUAUUUAUAUUGGAUCUCUGGCAAGAACAGAGUCAUUUUGCUUCCUCUGUUAGCCUGUGAUAAUUGAUGCUUCAUACCUGGAACUACGUUUCAUUUAUCUCUUUACCCAUGAAGAUAUUGCAUAAAUAAGAGAUAAUUUAUGGAAAGGAAACAGCCAUUUGAAAUAAUAAUCCUAAAUUUGACUGUAUGAUCUUGAAAGACUUUCAGAGUCAAAGAUGCAGAUUUCUGGUUUUAAAGAAAACUUGGUCGCAACUGGGAAAUUUGUGCCUUUUUUGAACAUUUACUGAAUUUGAAUGCCUGCAUGGA